AUGGGGAUCGGCGCAGCGCUGGCUGUGCUGCUGGUGGCGGCGACGUGGUCGACGGCGGUCUUCGCCAAGGGCGAGGGCGAGGCGGCGGCGGCGACGGACUGGGUCUCCGUCGACCCGAAGGCGGUGCUCGUCUGUCUGAUGGUGGCGGAGAACGCGUACCACCCAGACAGCAAUGCACAGUGCUGCGAGGCUUUGUCCCACGACGAGGGCAACUGGUUGCAGUGCGAGCUCCAGGACCGGCUCCCAGGUAGGAGGCGGCCAAUGGCAGAGAUCUUCCCGUGUAUCCGCGAAGAGGCCACUUGCCAGCUAUCAUGGGGCGCCGUGGAAAGAAGAGAGCUAGCGGCUGAGAGCCCUGCGGCAGGCCCGGGUCAUGUGGCUAGUCCGGGUCCGAGCACUGCGGAGGGUCCAGGUCCUGCAGCUGGUCCGGGUCCAAGCCCUAUGGAGGGUCCAGGUCUUGUGAUGGGCCCGGUUCCUGGCCCUACGGCUACGGCAGGCCCGGGUCCUGCGGCUAGUCCAAGUCCGAGCCCUGCCAAGGGUCCGGGUCCAAGCCCUGCGGAGGGUCCGGGUCCUGUGGCUGGUCCUGCUCCGAGCCCUGCAGCCGGUCUAGGUCCUGCUGCUGGUCCGGAUCGCGCGGCCGAUGCACCUUAG
RNAcentral lists this ribosomal RNA (648 nucleotides) under Triticum aestivum (bread wheat). RNAcentral describes it as "partial small subunit ribosomal RNA". Lineage: Eukaryota; Viridiplantae; Streptophyta; Magnoliopsida; Poales; Poaceae. The record is from RNAcentral.